AAGACCUUGCGCUUUUGGAGCGGCCGAUGUCUGAUUAGCUAGUUGGUAGGGUAAUGGCUUACCAAAGCUUCGAUCAGUAGCUGGUCUGAGAGGACGACCAGCCACACUGGGACUGAGACACGGCCCAGACUCCUACGGGAGGCAGCAGUGGGGAAUUUUGGACAAUGGGCGCAAGCCUGAUCCAGCCAUGCCGCGUGAGUGAAGAAGGCCUUCGGGUUGUAAAGCUCUUUCAGCCGGGAAGAAAAGGCUACGACGAAUAAUCGUAGCUCAUGACGGUACCGGAAGAAGAAGCACCGGCUAACUACGUGCCAGCAGCCGCGGUAAUACGUAGGGUGCGAGCGUUAAUCGGAAUUACUGGGCGUAAAGGGUGCGCAGGCGGUUUUGUAAGUCAGAUGUGAAAUCCCCGGGCUUAACCUGGGAACU
This 423-nucleotide ribosomal RNA is filed under the name uncultured bacterium. Its description in RNAcentral is "bacterial SSU rRNA". It matches the Rfam family "Bacterial small subunit ribosomal RNA", at positions 207 to 622 of the family's 1533-position model. The record is from RNAcentral.